CAGAUCUGUGCAAAAUAAUUUUAGUUAGACUAAAAUUUUCAAGCAAUAUGCUUCAUUUUAUUAAUACACCUAAAAACUAAUGAAAUAUUGUUUAAUAUAUCUUUUAACAAAAUUUAAAAUUAUGUUUUCCCUCCCCUAUGUGCUUAAUGUGCACUAGAAACAUUUAGUGGGCCCUCUGAUUCACUCUUUUUGCGCAAAGUGGCCAGAAACUCAAUGGAUCUUGCUAAUUAGGAAUUCCCAGAUGACAAAGAAUCAGCAUGACGACUCUGUGCUACUUCUCUUGUCACUCCAGGAUAGGCUGCAUGGGUUGAUGAAAGGGAGAAUCUGCACAGCUCUGGCUAUUCCCACUUGCCAAAAUGGUCACUUGGGACCAAAGAGCAGUCUGAAGGCAUGGCCAGACCUGAGAAUCAGGCCAUGAAUAUUCUAUUAGCUUGCAGACAAUUGUGGGCUCUUCUUUCCUAGACUGACUAGCAUCCUAUAAUUUUCCUUCUAUAGUAUUAGACACUUAUUUUAAACAUUUAACAAAAAUAUCUGUUUUCUAGAAUUAGCCAUUUGCUCGUCAUUCUUUCUGUACCUGAAAACAAGCUCUAUGCAAUUUAUAUAAGCAAUACAUAUUAUUUAAAUCUCUGCUAGUUCUUUUAAGGAUAAAAUGCAUUCUAAACACUUUUUUAUGAAGGCAAAUGCCAAUGAAUUUGCUAGGCAAAAAUAUAUAUAUUACAAAAGGUUAUGUUCCCUGCCCAAGUGACAGAAAGGAAAAGAGUAGGUCCUGUUCUUAAAUAACUAAAGUUGCCCUCAUUUUGGGACAGAUUCUUCUGUCUAAUAUAUGCCUUAAAUGUCCAGCACAGUUUUCCCAAGUACAGUACUCUCUGAAAUGUUUUUCAUUUGAGAAUGAAAUAUAUAUAAACUUUUAUUUAAAAAAUUGUAUAUUUUUAAUAAAAAGUAAAAAUUGCACUACAACAUAUCUAAUUUCUCAUUCUUAAUUUCCUUGUAAUAACUGAUACAGAAUACAGACCUACCUUUCUUCAUUCAAAUGACUCCACUGAGAUUGUUCUCCCUAGAAUAAGAUCAAAAGUAAAAAAAAAAAAAAAUCUGAAUUUUUUAUAACAUAUAUUUUAUUUUGUAAGACAAAAUGAUUUUUUUCCUUCUAAAGUUCCUAAAGCAGUGUUAGACCUGAAUUCAGGUGAAAUAUACUUAUCUAAGCCUUUACUCAAAGAGAUACUAUUAUAAACAUUGCAGACCAAACUCAUUGCUGAUGUAAUUCUCUGAAGACAACUUACACCUCCAUGAAGUUAAAUGUGCAGAGUAAGUUUCGGAUUUCCAGAGCUGAUGCAAAAGUCCUAGCAAUCAGAGCAGCAGGCCCAGAUGGUGUGGCAGGCAGACCAACAGAAAGUUCUCCAGGACUUUAUGAAGGAACAGAUGGCCGUACAGCAUGGGAUACUGCAGAAUCUGGAUCCACAGCUCAUGCAAACCCUCCAAAAAUAAAAUGAAAUAUAUUAAAGUUGGUACUUGCCGCUGCCGCCAGCACCACCACCAAGAUUCUUCUGCAGUUUUGAAAUGUCAUGUCCUUUUUGAGCCAAC
Molecule: long non-coding RNA, 1578 nt
Organism: Chelonia mydas (Green sea turtle)
Lineage: Eukaryota; Metazoa; Chordata; Testudines; Cheloniidae
Exons: 3
Source: RefSeq, a predicted model, not a curated record